AUUGAACGCUGGCGGCAUGCUUUACACAUGCAAGUCGAACGGUAACAGGCCUUCGGGUGCUGACGAGUGGCGAACGGGUGAGUAAUGCAUCGGAACGUGCCCAGAGGUGGGGGAUAACGCAGCGAAAGCUGUGCUAAUACCGCAUGUGAUCUGAGGAUGAAAGCGGGGGACCAGGCAGCAAUGUUUGGCCUCGCGCCUUUGGAGCGGCCGAUGUCAGAUUAGGUAGUUGGUGGGGUAAAGGCCUACCAAGCCGACGAUCUGUGGCUGGUCUGAGAGGACGAACAGCCACACUGGGACUGAGACACGGCCCAGACUCCUACGGGAGGCAGCAGUGGGGAAUUUUGGACAAUGGGCGCAAGCCUGAUCCAGCAAUGCCGCGUGCGGGAAGAAGGCCUUCGGGUUGUAAACCGCUUUUGUACGGAACGAAAAGGCUCUGGCUAAUACCUGGGGCUGAUGACGGUACCGUAAGAAUAAGCACCGGCUAACUACGUG
This 492-nucleotide ribosomal RNA is filed under the name uncultured bacterium. Its description in RNAcentral is "partial 16S ribosomal RNA". It matches the Rfam family "Bacterial small subunit ribosomal RNA", at positions 30 to 507 of the family's 1533-position model. The record is from RNAcentral.